GCAGGGGACAUAACUCCUCCAACAAGGAUUAGGCAGGCUAUGGAGAUGCAGGCUGAAGUAGAAAGGAGAAAAUGCGCUCAAGUCCUUGAAUCAGAAGGGAAGAAACAAGCCCAAAUCCUUGAAUUAGAAGGGAAGAAAACUGCCCAGAUCUUUGAAUCUGAAGGUGACGACUUCAUAACCCUUUUUAUCUUUUAGCUCAAUCAGGAGCUUCACAGUGCCAGGUCUUCAUUUGAGCAAGCUCAUUUCAAUCUGUGCAAGGCACCUAAUCAGGACAAUCAACAUGAGGCAUCAUCUCAGAAGAUAGCUUAUAAUAAGCAUGGAAAAAGCAUGGAUUCUUAUGUUGAAGUAGUCGAGGUUGAGUGAGCUCUACGACAUAAAGCAAAAUUGGAAAGGCACCAACGCACAGCUGAGCGAGCGGCGAAAGCCCUUGCUGAAAAGAACAUGCGGGAUAUGCUGGUGCAGAGGGAGCAUGCUGAGAAACAUACUGGCUGAAUUUCUUGAUCCUGAAGUCAAGAGAUGGUCAAAUGGAAAAGAAGGAAAUCUGUGAGCAUUGUUGUCCACAUUGCAAUAUGUACGUAUUUUGGCUUAUAUGACUUCUGUUUGAACCAUGUACAUCUUGGUUACUGUAGGACUUCCACUGGUUCUUAUCAGAAAUUUAUGCCCAUCAUUAGAUUGCCAAUAAAUAAUACUCCUAAUCAUGGGUGCUCCAGUUAAAAAAUGGAUCGUAUGUAAAUUCAUUUUAGACAGCGCAAGAAAUGGUUAGCUACUAUACACCAGAUGAUAUUACAUGCUGCGAAUUCACUUUGCACCAUCAAGCUUAGAGUUACCUCUGUAAUGUGGCUCCCUUGUAUCGGAUUCAUGCUUUGCAGCCCUACCAGAACCUUUUCCCUCCUUGCAGCUACCCCUUUUGUUAAUAUUUCCAUACAUGCUGUAUUUGUCAUCGUUAUUAUAUUUUUCUGCUCUAGAAUAUUUGAGUUCUUUUGUAUGAUCAGCCUUCACCUCAUUAACAAAGUCCUCUGUGCUGCUCUUUUCUGAAUGUCUGUGACUGCUUUCCAAAUCAUUGUGCUUUUCGGCAUUAUUGCCAAAAGAGGUUUUUUCUGUUCUGGAUAUAUACCUCUGCAUACGUA
Molecule: long non-coding RNA, 1127 nt
Organism: Zea mays
Lineage: Eukaryota; Viridiplantae; Streptophyta; Magnoliopsida; Poales; Poaceae
Exons: 5
Source: RefSeq, a predicted model, not a curated record